CUUUAUUCUCUGGUGUUUUCAGCUCUGCCUGUUCCUGUCCUCAUCCUCAACUCUUCUCAAUGUUCUUCAUCCUCAUCUUCAUCAGUGCAGUAUUGUUCAGUGCUGUGUUCAGUGGUGAAUGUGAGCGCUGUGAGUCUCUCCUGGUACAAAGGAAACAGUUUAUUGUCCAGCAUCAGUGUGUCUGAUCUCAGCAUCAGUCUCUCUCUACCUCUGGAGGUGGAAUAUCAGGAGAAAAACACCUACAGCUGUGUGAUCAACAACACCAUCAGCAACCAGACUCAACAUCUGGACAUCAGUCAACUCUGUCCCACAUGUUCAGGCUCUGUUCACUGCUGUGGUCCUACUGAAGCUGCGAUCCGAUUGGUCCUCUCUGUUCUGGUGGGCGUGGCUACUGUCAUUAUUGUGCUUUAUGACAUCAGAUCCAGAAGAGCUGAACAAGAUCAAGCACAUAUUCACGCAUCACAAACCUGAAUGAUGAUGUCAGAGAACUGCUUUCAGUCAUUUCAGCUUCAUUUAUUUUGAAGAUUUUAGAUGAACCUGAUGGUUCUGAUGCAGCUCAUGUGAGGGUUUGACAUAAAUACAGCAGCAGACUUAAAAUGCAAAGCUUUGCUUUCAUUUAUUUCAGUACAACAGGCUUUACUAAUGAACAUUUUAUAUAUGAUUUAAUUUUUCGUUUGUUUUGUAGUGUUACUAUUUUACAGAUUCAGUUUGAUUUAUUGUUUAUAUUUCUCUAAAAUAAGACACAGAUCUUACUUCACUGUGCAUUUGUCAGAUGUAUUUGCUUGUCUUCAUCAAUAAAGUUUUCUCUGUCUAAAUGUAAA
Non-coding RNA from Danio rerio (zebrafish), 821 nucleotides. The record is from RefSeq and is a predicted model, not a curated record. Lineage: Eukaryota; Metazoa; Chordata; Actinopteri; Cypriniformes; Danionidae.